RNAcentral lists this long non-coding RNA (1805 nucleotides) under Salmo salar (Atlantic salmon). RNAcentral's name for it is "lncRNA (ENSSSAG00000105781.1)". The stretch from base 684 to 737 matches the Rfam family "UnaL2 LINE 3' element". The record is from RNAcentral. Lineage: Eukaryota; Metazoa; Chordata; Actinopteri; Salmoniformes; Salmonidae.
AAAAAAGUGAUUUUCUUUCAAAAACAAGGACAUUUGUAAGUGACCACAAUCUUUUGAAAGGUAAUGUACAUUUUGGGGAGAAUCUGGGAAAUCCUAUAUCAGGCGUAUGGUAUUUUCUCAAUAGAAAUGACGCGAGGCAAGAGCAGAGAUCAGCUUCUCAUUAGCUAGCUAACAUUAGCUUUAUUAUAUCUAUAUAGUGUUAGGUGUACUGUUGUUUUGAAAUAACAUUCUUUAUAUUGAUUUGAUUGUAUACAUAGUCUUAGCAAGCUCUUUGGCAGCAAGCUAAGCAUUUUUAGCUAUAAUAUUUAGCUAGCUAGCUUGCUUUGCAAAUGUUAGCCUAGUUAGCAUCAAGUGUUAUAGAAAAAUGGCCGUAGAAGCAACUCUAGCUUAGUUUAGAAGAAAGACUGACUUUUCAAUUCAUUUUGAUGCACCUGUAGAACAAGGAGCUAGUUAGCAAAGAUUUUUAUCUGUGCCCUUGGUGUACAACAGCUUCUAUGUACAACAAACUCCCUCACGAUGCCAGGACAGCGGAGUCAAUCACCACCUUCCGGAGACACCUGAAACCCCACCUCUUUAAGGAAUACCUGGGUUAGGAUAAAGUAAUCAUUCUAACCCCCCCCCCCACAAAAAAAGAUAUAGAUGUACUAUUGUAAAGUGGUUGUUCCACUGGAUAUCAUAAGGUGAAUGCACCAAUUUGUAAGUCGCUCUGGAUAAGAGCGUCUGCUAAAUGAUGUAAAUGUAAUACCCAUGACAGAUAAUGCCAUCAUGGUUUGAUAGGCCUGAGACCCCAGUGCAGCUCAAUGUAAACAAGUGUAAUGGAAGGGUGGGAAUCUUCCGGCUAGCGUAGCAUGGACAAACCUAACACAAAUUAAAGUUUAUGUAGUUGCCAUAAUAUUUGAAGAUGGGGAUUGGACCACUCAUCCGGAUAAACAUUAGCUAGUUAUCGGUAAAGCUGUCUAACGUUAACAGUUAGCUAGCUGAUAUGCUCAGUGUCUGCUUGUGCCAUUUGCACCAUGAUACACCUGCACACACCCCUAGUAUGACUUCAAGGAUUUGAAGACCUAUUUCUCAAAGAUGGAAUGGACCGGUCUAGUGAAAUGUGAGAGAGUGCACUACAGAAACUUGAAGAGGAACCACCUGGCUAUAGGGCUGAACUCCCCAGUACCUGCUUUUAUGAGGAGAGGCAGAUUUAAACUGGUGAACAAUGCUCAGCUUCUCGCACCCAGUGACUCCGAGGAGGAUGAGUGGACCCCUCGCCUGGAGAGAUGCUGGAGUUAUGUAGUGAAAGCAGAGGGAAAAAUAAGCUUUUGGAAUGAAAGAGGCUCUGACAAGAUUGAAAGAAGAGGAGGAUGUUACAGUGAAAGAGGGGGAGGAAGAGAACUGUCACAGUGAAAGAGGAGAUUGGAGGUCUGAUUAACACCAGGACACCUCGGAGCUUCCGACCCUCUGCAGCGUCUCAAGGAGCCCCUCAGCCUGACAAACUGGCUACACCUACAGUACAGGUGAGUGUUUGUUUACAACAGUACAGGUGAGUGUUUGUUUACAACAGUACAGGUGAGUGUUUGUUUACAACAGUACAGGUGAGUGUUUGUUUACAACAGUACAGGUGAGUGUUUGUUUACAACGGUGCAGGUGAGUGUUUGUUUACAACGGUACAGGUGAGUUUGUUUACAACGGUACAGGUGAGUGUUUGUUUACAACGGUACAGGUGAGUGUUUGUUUACAACGGUACAGGUGAGUGUUUGUUUACAACGGUACAGGUGAGUGUUUGUUUACAACGGUACAGGUGAGUGUUUGUUUACAAC